CACAGGGAACAGAAAUUAUAUGGAUCUAUGGAUCUCAUGUGCAAAGCAGGAAACUCAACAAGUCUGUACAAGAGGUUGGAGCUCAAACUUUUUUCUUUUUCUUUCUGCUGUUCUGAAGGAGCUUAAUUGCUUGUGAGAGUCUAUUUUUCUCCAUUGCUUCCACUCUCCAUUUUGUGUUCUCAAGUCCUAACAUCACCACUGGCAGUUGAACAGAACCAAAAAAAAGGAAACAGAGCAAGUGAAUAUAUACGAAAAAUAUGCCAGGAUGUGACACCAAUAUGGUGGAAGACUGACAGUAAUAGAUCUGGUCCAUUUCUGGGAAUUUCCCUCUCUGUUAUUAAAUGCACUGAGCUGAUUUAUACUGCAGAUUGACGUUUACCACUUAUAACUAACACAACAGGUGCAGAGGGUGCAAAAAGUUCUUGUGAUUUGCUCAAGUAGGCUUCCAGAAAACUAUCAGAGGUCUGAUCAAACAAGGACAACUACAAAUAAUAGAAGUGUCAUCACCACCACAAACACCCCAGAGGAUCCUGUGAAAUGUUCUGUGGGUUUCUGGAGCGCUUUAUAGCUGAGGAGUUCAACAUAUCAGAUGACUAUAUUAUUCUUAUAAUUUCAGGUAGGUAUUUUUUUUACCUAUAUACUAAGACUGUGAAAUAUAGACCAAAAUCUAAAUCAAAUUGUGCUGGGUUUACCCUCUGCUUAAUCACCUGUAAGAGUCCUACUAAAAAUGAUUUAUAAAGGUGUUUAGUGUUGUAUUUCAACAUCUCUCUUUCUGGAAUUUGUAGUCUCUUGCUGUGUUGUAAAUUUAUGAAAGUUGAUCUAUCUUUCCUUGGGGGAUACUUGUUUAAUGCCUGCUUUGAUGUUCAGUUUAUUCUUUGUUACUUUCUUAAUACAGCAAUUAUGAUCAAUAGAAGAGUCUUCCAGAUUUUGGAAAGAAUCUUAUGAAACUGACUGGGAAAUUAUAUAUUAAUUUUUACAAACAUUGUCUCAUAUCCUUUGUCUUUACUUCUUCAUUUUUGUAGAAUUUAUUUAUUUAAAUAUUUAUUUAUUUAUUUUGGGGGAAGGGAUGUAGCUCAGAAAUCUAUGAAGAAAAAAUAAAAUUUUGGUUAUUUUUCUGUUGAGCCA
Molecule: long non-coding RNA, 1125 nt
Filed under: Anas platyrhynchos platyrhynchos (common mallard)
Lineage: Eukaryota; Metazoa; Chordata; Aves; Anseriformes; Anatidae
Description: lncRNA (ENSAPLG00000020820.1)
Source: RNAcentral